CUACUGGACGAGAACCCCGGGAACUGGGGCUAAUCCCCGAUAGGCGAAGAGCUCUGGAAUGAGCCUUCACCCAAAAGACGACUAGGCUAUGCUCCUAUUCGUUGCUCGAGGAUGGGGCCGCGACCGAUCAGGUUGUUGGUGAGGUAACGGCUCACCAAGCCUUUGACCGGUGCGGGCCGUGGGAGCGGGAGCCCGGAGAUGGGCACUGAGACAAGGGCCCAGGCCCUACGGGGCGCAGCAGUCGCGCAAACUUUGCAAUACACGAAAGUGUGACAGGGCUAUCCCGAGUGCCGUCCGCUGAGGAUGGCUUUUAGCCAGUCUAGAAAGCUGGUAGAAUAAGGAGAGGGCAAGUCUGGUGUCAGCCGCCGCGGUAAUACCAGCUCUCCGAGUGGUGUGGAUGUUUAUUGGGCCUAAAGCAUCCGUAGCUGGCCAAGCAAGUCCCCUGUUAAACCCAGCGAAUUAAUCGUUGGAUUGCGGGGGAUACUGCUCGGCUAGGGGACGAGAGAGGCCGACGGUAUUCUCGGGGUAGGGGUGAAAUCCUAUAAUCCCGGGAAGACCACCAGUGGCGAAGGCUGUCGGCUAGAACGAGCCCGACGGUGAGGGAUGAAAGCUGGGGGAGCGAACCGGAUUAGAUACCCGGGUAGUCCCAGCUGUAAACGAUGCAGGCUAGGUGUUUGGACGGCCACGCGCCGUUCUAGUGCCGCAGGGAAGCUGUUAAGCCUGCCGCCUGGGGAGUACGAUCGCAAGAUUGAAACUUAAAGGAAUUGGCGGGGGAGCAC
This 779-nucleotide ribosomal RNA is filed under the name uncultured archaeon. RNAcentral describes it as "bacterial SSU rRNA". It matches the Rfam family "Archaeal small subunit ribosomal RNA", at positions 113 to 879 of the family's 1478-position model. The record is from RNAcentral.